AGUGAACGCUGGCGGUAGGCCUAACACAUGCAAGUCGAACGGCAGCACAGUAAGAGCUUGCUCUUACGGGUGGCGAGUGGCGGACGGGUGAGGAAUACAUCGGAAUCUACUUUUUCGUGGGGGAUAACGUAGGGAAACUUACGCUAAUACCGCAUACGACCUACGGGUGAAAGCAGGGGAUCUUCGGACCUUGCGCGAUUGAAUGAGCCGAUGUCGGAUUAGCUAGUUGGCGGGGUAAAGGCCCACCAAGGCGACGAUCCGUAGCUGGUCUGAGAGGAUGAUCAGACACACUGGAACUGAGACACGGUCCAUACUCCUACGGGAGGCAGCAGUGGGGAAUAUUGGACAAUGGGCGCAAGCCUGAUCCAGCCAUACCGCGUGGGUGAAGAAGGCCUUCGGGUUGUAAAGCCCUUUUGUUGGGAAAGAAAAGCAGCAGGUUAAUACCCCGCUGUUCUGACGGUACCCAAAGAAUAAGCACCGGCUAACUUCGUG
RNAcentral lists this ribosomal RNA (492 nucleotides) under uncultured bacterium. Its description in RNAcentral is "partial 16S ribosomal RNA". It matches the Rfam family "Bacterial small subunit ribosomal RNA", at positions 29 to 507 of the family's 1533-position model. The record is from RNAcentral.